GAUGAACGCUGACAGAAUGCUUAACACAUGCAAGUCAACUUGAACUUCGGUUUGGGUGGCGGACGGGUGAGUCACGCGUAAAGAACUUGCCUCACAGAUAGGGACAACAUUUGGAAACGAAUGCUAAUACCUGAUAUUAUGAUUAUAUGGCAUCGUAUAAUUAUGAAAGCUAUAUGCGCUGUGAGAGAGCUUUGCGUCCCAUUAGCUAGUUGGAGAGGUAACGGCUCACCAAGGCGAUGAUGGGUAGCCGGCCUGAGAGGGUGAUCGGCCACAAGGGGACUGAGACACGGCCCUUACUCAUACGGGAGGCAGCAGUGGGGAAUAUUGGACAAUGGACCAAGAGUCUGAUCAAGCAAUUCUGUGUGCACGAUGAAGUUUUUCGGAAUGUAAAGUGCUUUCAGUUGGGAAGAAAAAAAUGACGGUACCAACAGAAGAAGUGACGGCUAAAUACGUG
This 454-nucleotide ribosomal RNA is filed under the name uncultured bacterium. RNAcentral describes it as "partial 16S ribosomal RNA". It matches the Rfam family "Bacterial small subunit ribosomal RNA", at positions 28 to 507 of the family's 1533-position model. The record is from RNAcentral.